RNAcentral lists this signal recognition particle RNA (98 nucleotides) under Bryobacterales bacterium. RNAcentral's name for it is "signal recognition particle sRNA small type". It matches the Rfam family "Bacterial small signal recognition particle RNA". Rfam says of the family: The signal recognition particle (SRP) is a universally conserved ribonucleoprotein involved in the co-translational targeting of proteins to membranes. Archaeal SRP consists of a 7S RNA and homologues of the eukaryotic SRP19 and SRP54 proteins. The record is from RNAcentral. Lineage: Bacteria; Pseudomonadati; Acidobacteriota; Terriglobia; Bryobacterales.
CCCCGGGCUUCGUGCAACGGGCGGCCGUAAACCCCGCCAGGUCCGGAAGGAAGCAACGGUAGCGGCUUAGCUCGUGUGCCGCGGAUCACCCGGGGUCU